RNAcentral lists this ribosomal RNA (920 nucleotides) under uncultured bacterium. Its description in RNAcentral is "bacterial SSU rRNA". It matches the Rfam family "Bacterial small subunit ribosomal RNA", at positions 33 to 927 of the family's 1533-position model. The record is from RNAcentral.
ACGCUGGCGGCGUGCCUAACACAUGCAAGUCGAGCGGCAGCGAGUUUUACACUGAAUUCUGGAAGCUUCUAGUUGAAAGAGAAGAUUUAUUCAAGAAUUUUGUGUAAAAUGUCGGCGAGCGGCGGACGGCUGAGUAACGCGUGGGAACGUACCCCAAAGUGAGGGAUAACGCAUCGAAAGGUGUGCUAAUACCGCAUAUGGUCUUCGGAUUAAAGCCUUCGGGCGCUUUGGGAACGGCCUGCGUAAGAUUAGAUAGUUGGUGGGGUAAUGGCCUACCAAGUCGACGAUCUUUAACUGGUUUGAGAGGAUGAUCAGUCAGACUGGAACUGAGACACGGUCCAGACUCCUACGGGAGGCAGCAGUGAGGAAUCUUCCACAAUGGGCGAAAGCCUGAUGGAGCAACGCCGCGUGCAGGAUGAAGGCCUUCGGGUUGUAAACUGCUUUUAUAAGUGAGGAUUAUGACAGUAACUUAUGAAUAAGGAUCGGCUAACUACGUGCCAGCAGCCGCGGUCAUACGUAGGAUCCGAGCGUUAUCCGGAGUGACUGGGCGUAAAGAGUUGCGUAGGUGGUUCAAUAAGCGAAUAGUGAAAGCUGGUGGCUCAACCAUUCAGAUUAUUAUUCGAACUGUUGAACUCGAGAGCAGAAGAGGUAGCUGGAAUUUCUAGUGUAGGAGUGAAAUCCGUAGAUAUUAGAAGGAACACCGAUGGCGUAGGCAGGCUACUGGGCUGUUUCUGACACUGAGGCACGAAAGCGUGGGGAGCGAACCGGAUUAGAUACCCGGGUAGUCCACGCCGUAAACGAUGGAUACUAGCUGUUUGGGGUAUCGACCCCCUGAGUAGCGAAGCUAACGCGUUAAGUAUCCCGCCUGUGGAGUACGAUCGCAAGAUUAAAACAUAAAGGAAUUGACGGGGACCCGCACA